GACAGAGGAGCCAAGCGUUGUCCGGAUUGACUGGGCGUAAAGCGCACGCAGGCGGUCCUAUUAGUCUGGGGUGACAGUUCCCGGCUUAACCGGAAAAGGACUCUGGAAACUGUAGGACUUGAGGGCUUCAGAGGGAUGUGGAAUUCCAGGUGGAGUGGUGAAAUGCGUAGAGAUCUGGAAGAACACCAAAGGCGAAGGCAGCAUCCUGGGAAGUUCCUGACGCUCGGGUGCGAAAGCCAGGGGAGCGAACGGG
Molecule: ribosomal RNA, 253 nt
Filed under: uncultured bacterium
Lineage: Bacteria
Description: partial 16S ribosomal RNA
Rfam family: Bacterial small subunit ribosomal RNA
Source: RNAcentral